UGAAAUGAAUCUGAAAAUUCCAUUUAUUAAAACACAUACAUUGUCCAUGUGGGAUGAAAAUGUGCACAUCACAUUCAGGAUUUACUUUUACUUGCAGAAUCAAAGCUAUCAUGUACACGUUAGGAAUAGUGAAAAGAGAACACAGACAACCGGCAUUUUUUGUCGUUGUUACCAUGAGGAUACACCACGGGGAACAUCUCCCUAAACAUUUUGUGUGAUCAUUCUUGGAGUUCAAUCUGAUAGACCAGUCCAGCCUUAUCUCCACACUACUCUAAUGGGGAGGGGUGGAAGGAGGGGUAGAGGAGAAGGAAAAAAGAAAAAGAAAGGCACAGUGACUAUACAUCAAUGCCACUAAACCGAAUUGCGGCUACAUGGGACAGCCCAGCUUAUCAAAGGGUAUUCGAAAGACAAUAUUCAUUCCAAGAAGGUCACACAUAUCUUACCUCAGUACAGCUGUCUGUUUUAAUUGUUAUUUUU
RNAcentral lists this non-coding RNA (477 nucleotides) under Pongo abelii (Sumatran orangutan). Lineage: Eukaryota; Metazoa; Chordata; Mammalia; Primates; Hominidae. The record is from RNAcentral.